GAGGAAUGUCUGCGACUAAGUCAAGGGCCACUGGAUAAGGGUUGUUGAUGGCAAAACAGGUUGGAGACUACAUAAGACUUUGACAGUUGGCGGGAAACCAUCAUCAACUGGAGAGAUGCCGGAAGAGGAAUGUCUGCGACUAAGUCAAGGGCCACUGGAUAAGGGUUGUUGAUGGCAAAACAGGUUGGAGACUACAUAAGACUUUGACAGUUGGCGGGAAACCAUCAUCAACUGGAGAGAUGCCGGAAGAGGAAUGUCUGCGACUAAGUCAAGGGCCACUGGAUAAGGGUUGUUGAUGGCAAAACAGGUUGGAGACUACAUAAGACUUUGACAGUUGGCGGGAAACCAUCAUCAACUGGAGAGAUGCCGGAAGAGGAAUGUCUGCGACUAAGUCAAGGGCCACUGGAUAAGGGUUGUUGAUGGCAAAACAGGUUGGAGACUACAUAAGACUUUGACAGUUGGCGGGAAACCAUCAUCAACUGGAGAGAUGCCGGAAGAGGAAUGUCUGCGACUAAGUCAAGGGCCACUGGAUAAGGGUUGUUGAUGGCAAAACAGGUUGGAGACUACAUAAGACUUUGACAGUUGGCGGGAAACCAUCAUCAACUGGAGAGAUGCCGGUAAAAAGAUGGCCAUAAAACAGAAGAGGAAUGUCUGCGACUAAGUCAAGGGCCACUGGAUAAGGGUUGUUGAUGGCAAAACAGGUUGGAGACUACAUAAGACUUUGACAGUUGGCGGGAAACCAUCAUCAACUGGAGAGAUGCCGGUAAAAAGAUGGCCAUAAAACAGUGACCGCUGAUUCGCAUUGAGUUCUUUCUUACAUAUUGGAUGACCUAUGUUUUUUAUUGUUUAAAUCAUUGCGGCUUGGAAUGCUCUUUAAGAAAAGGUAUGGUUAUGGGGGUGUCUACGCGCAAAAGUUUGACUUUAUUUUUUGUUAAAGUUAUUGCUUUUACAUUGAAUUUGUGCAGGAAAUCUUUUGGUAUGUUGUGACCUUAACC
Molecule: long non-coding RNA, 995 nt
Organism: Dreissena polymorpha
Lineage: Eukaryota; Metazoa; Mollusca; Bivalvia; Myida; Dreissenidae
Exons: 12
Source: RefSeq, a predicted model, not a curated record